UACAGCUUUUGUCACUCUGCUCUGAUCUACUAUUCCCGAAACAUCCCUGGUGGCAAAACUAUGUCAGUCUCUGGAAAAUUUUCCCUCAAGUCCCUCAGUUUUCAGUUAUUAAUGAAAAAAAAAAAAGUAAGAAAAUGUUAAAGGUACUGAGAAAAGUCCAGAGUUUACAUCUGGUUUCAACGAUUUCAACUUGCGCAACACUCCAUGUUUGUGAAAGUGACCCAGGAAAUCUUUGAACAGGAUGUAAUCAACCUCCGAUCCGCUGAGAAACACUGCAAGAAUGACUUCAGCUGCCAAAAAUAAUAAUGUCGCUUACAAGCAGUUCUUCCUAUGCCUGAGGAAGGAGUCACACAUGUGCGUCUCUGCUGGCUUCGGGGAAGCAAGCAAGGAAAAAGGCAACUCCUACCGUCCCCAGCCGAAACCACCCAGCACCAGAACAGGGAGCUGUGGUUCAUUCCAAGGGUGCUGGCAAUAUUGAGGAAGAUUCGUAUUCACAAAAAUCCGAACGAAAAUCCUGAAUGUCCAAGAAGGUAAAGGCCAAUUGCAGUUUCAUUGAGCCAAUUAAUUCUAUCAAAGUGUCUGUGAUAAAGUUCCUUCCUCACAUCUGAGUACAUAAAGGCUGAAAUAGAAGGGGUUCUUUUGCUUUGAAGUAACCAGCUGAAGGCUGACUGGAGUAAUUGAAAAGAUACCAACCAAGGAUCUUCAAAUUUGAAUGCAAAUGAUUAUCAGUUCUCUCCAUAGGCAUCCCUCCGUAACACCGCCUUUGGCAAUAGUCCUUUACUAUCUAUGGCACCCAUGGACUUCUCUCUCAAACUGUUGCUGUAUCAUCUGAACUUCCCUCUGCCCCGAUGCCCUGCCACAGUUUAUUCAAACUGUGGCACCAGAAACAGAGGCUACAAGUAUGUUUGUAAUAAACAAUGGUCAGAAUAUUCAUGAUUGUGUGUCCCAAAAAUAAUGAUCACCAUACUUCCUAAUAACACCAAUUGCUUUCAAAUAAUGUAUGCCUUGCUUGUUUUUUUCUUCUUUUACAGAAUUGACAUUUUAUUGCAAUCGAUAUUUUUGCCUCCUUUUUUCAUGCCUUCUCUGACUUGUACAAUUUAUUUUGGUUUUACCUCUAUUGCUUUAAAUGUUAAUUGUCUUUUCAAAACAGUACCCUAUUUAAUGGGAGCAAUUAGAAAAAGAAGUUUAAGUAAUACAUACACAUCACAGAGACAGAUACCUGGUGAAAAGAAGAUAAGAUACACUUUUAAGAAGUGAGUACAACUGAAGUGAAAGUUUACUUCAAAUACUUGAACAAGCACUAAUUUUUUCCAUCAAGAGAAAUGAUAGUAUGUAAAUAUGAGACUUUCAUUUCGUCAUCAAUAAUUUUCCCAAGGGAACCAAGUCACUACAUUAAUUUUAAGACAGGGGAACUCUUUCCAGAUAUUUUCUGAAAUACAAAACAAAAUAAAACAAAAAACCAAAAAAACCCUGAAAACCUAGAUAACUUUGAAUAUAGUGAUGGAUUUUGGGGUAUACACCAAAAGCAUGAUCCAUAAAAGAAAUAAUUGUUAAGUUGGACAUAAUAAAGAUCAGGAAAUAAAUAAAUAAA
Molecule: non-coding RNA, 1591 nt
Organism: Manis javanica (Malayan pangolin)
Lineage: Eukaryota; Metazoa; Chordata; Mammalia; Pholidota; Manidae
Source: RefSeq, a predicted model, not a curated record